This 77-nucleotide transfer RNA is filed under the name bacterium. RNAcentral's name for it is "tRNA-Val". It matches the Rfam family "tRNA". From Rfam's summary of the family: Transfer RNA (tRNA) molecules are approximately 80 nucleotides in length. Their secondary structure includes four short double-helical elements and three loops (D, anti-codon, and T loops). The record is from RNAcentral. RNAcentral also lists the same sequence under 3 other names.
GCGCUCGUAGCUCAGCUGGUUAGAGUAUCGCCUUGACAUGGCGGGGGUCCCCUGUUCGAAUCAGGGCGGGCGCACCA